UCUUUCUACCAUAGUACAAAUAAAACUAAAAUGACACAGAAAAGAUAAGCAUUGUCUCUGUGCAAGGAUGACACACAAACUUGUGCAGCAUUCACAUUUUGA
Small nuclear RNA from Sorex fumeus (smoky shrew), 102 nucleotides. The record is from RefSeq and is a predicted model, not a curated record. Lineage: Eukaryota; Metazoa; Chordata; Mammalia; Eulipotyphla; Soricidae.